Molecule: long non-coding RNA, 587 nt
Organism: Neopelma chrysocephalum (saffron-crested tyrant-manakin)
Lineage: Eukaryota; Metazoa; Chordata; Aves; Passeriformes; Pipridae
Exons: 3
Source: RefSeq, a predicted model, not a curated record
UGCCCUUAGGUCCUCAAAGAAUAAUUUGUCAGUGUCCUGGCUGGGAGGCCUAUAGCAGACUCCCACGAUGACAUCCGCAUUUGUUUGCCCCUUGAUUCUCACCCAGAGGCUCUCAACUGUGCCACUGCCAACUGUGAGCUCCAUACAUUCUAACCCUUCUAUAACAUACAGUGUCAUCCCUCCGCUUCUUCUGCUCUGCAUAUCCCUCCUGAAGAGCCUGUAACUGUCCAGCAGGGCACUCCAGUCAUAGGAGUCAUCCCAUCAGGGGAACCAGGCAGAGGUUACAGAUCAAUACGAGCUACCUAAAGUCUAAGAGACCAAGACACAACCUUCCCACAAAAAACACCUUUCAAACAACCCAGCUAUGGCUCUUGUUGCCUUCAUUGGAGCUGCUGGAUAUUCAAAUGCUUGGGAAGACAGCUUAUAUUCAAGUAGCCAGUGAUGGUUUUAAGUGCUUUGCUCUGCGUUUGCAGUUGGAUUUUCACAUGCUGCUUUCUUUCCUCAAAAGGUGCUGGGGCUUUUUAAAUGGGCGCAGAAACGGUAAACACAAGUGGAAGAAGGGCUUCUGCCCCACAGACUCCAGUCUC